AUGCCCAGAAUAAAGGCGAGCGAAAGUGCCUUGCUCACAAGCGUGAAGAUUCUUAGUUUGAAUGUGUGUUUCGGGGUUCGCAAUGACGUUAAGAUGGUGCCCACCUUCCUCAAAUGCUUUCCCAACGCCGAGAGACUGCAUAUCAUGAGCGCAAAAUGUGAUCAGCCCACUGGUAACCACCUCACCGUCAAGUUCUGGGAGGAGUCUGAUCCCAAACAAAACCUCCUCUCGUGCAUCAACAUGCUGACUUUCCGGGAGUUCAAAGGGGACCGAGGUGAGGUUGGCUUCCUAGAGUUCGUCUUCCAGAGUGCACGGGCGCUGGACAAGGUAGCUAUUUUCAUGGCCAAUCCAAGCUUCACACGGUUCUCGACGGACGAGGCGCUUGUCAAGGCGCAAUACAGCGCUAGAAACCUGGCGAGUAAAUCUUGCGAAAAGUGCAUCAUCUGGAGUAGCCGUCCUGAAGGAGGCGAUGCUUGGAGCCUCAGAGUCGGGGCAGAUUUCUCCUUCGAGGACCCGUUCAUGGUGAUGCCGGCGAGGGAGGACAGCUAA
RNAcentral lists this ribosomal RNA (549 nucleotides) under Triticum aestivum (bread wheat). Its description in RNAcentral is "partial small subunit ribosomal RNA". The record is from RNAcentral. Lineage: Eukaryota; Viridiplantae; Streptophyta; Magnoliopsida; Poales; Poaceae.